AGGACGAACGCUGGCGGCGUGCUUAACACAUGCAAGUCGAGCGGAAAGGCCCUUCGGGGUACUCGAGCGGCGAACGGGUGAGUAACACGUGAGCAACCUGCCCCUGGCUCUGGGAUAGCCUCCGGAAACGGGGAUUAAUACCGGACAUGACCUGCUGCCGCAUGGUGGCGGGUGGAAAGUUUUUCGGCCAGGGUGGGGCUCGCGGCCUAUCAGCUUGUUGGGGGGUGACGGCCCACCAAGGCGACGAC
This 248-nucleotide ribosomal RNA is filed under the name uncultured bacterium. RNAcentral's name for it is "partial small subunit ribosomal RNA". It matches the Rfam family "Bacterial small subunit ribosomal RNA", at positions 26 to 280 of the family's 1533-position model. The record is from RNAcentral.